This 597-nucleotide ribosomal RNA is filed under the name uncultured Helotiales. Its description in RNAcentral is "eukaryotic LSU rRNA". The stretch from base 235 to 388 matches the Rfam family "5.8S ribosomal RNA". Lineage: Eukaryota; Fungi; Ascomycota; Leotiomycetes; Helotiales. The record is from RNAcentral.
CUUGGUCAUUUAGAGGAAGUAAAAGUCGUAACAAGGUUUCCGUAGGUGAACCUGCGGAAGGAUCAUUACAGAGUUCAUGCCCUUCGGGGUAGACCUCCCACCCUUGAGUACUAUACUUUUGUUGCUUUGGCAGGCCGUCAGGUUUACGCCUGGCUACCGGCUCCGGCUGGUAAGUGUCUGCCAGAGGACCUAAACUCUGAAUUUUAUGUCGUCUGAGUACUAUAUAAUAGUUAAAACUUUCAACAACGGAUCUCUUGGUUCUGGCAUCGAUGAAGAACGCAGCGAAAUGCGAUAAGUAAUGUGAAUUGCAGAAUUCAGUGAAUCAUCGAAUCUUUGAACGCACAUUGCGCCCCUUGGUAUUCCGAGGGGCAUGCCCGUUCGAGCGUCAUCAACACCAUCAAGCCUGGCUUGGUAUUGGGCCUUGCCUGUAACACGGCCGGCUUUAAAAUCAGUGGCGGUGCCGCCUGGCUCUAGGCGUAGUAACUUUUCUCGCUAUUGUGCCCGGCGGUUGCUUGCCAACAACCCCUAAUUUAAUAGAUUUGACCUCGGAUCGGGUAGGGAUACCCGCUGAACUUAAGCAUAUCAAUAAGCGGAGGA